This 1605-nucleotide ribosomal RNA is filed under the name Triticum aestivum (bread wheat). RNAcentral's name for it is "partial small subunit ribosomal RNA". Lineage: Eukaryota; Viridiplantae; Streptophyta; Magnoliopsida; Poales; Poaceae. The record is from RNAcentral.
AUGAUGAUGAAAAACAAGCGCAGGAUGGGAGUCCAUGAGAAACAACGUCCUUGCAAGAAAGUAAUUAGGCCAACUUUAGAUGGUACCUCCUCAGCGAGAUCGGACAGCUCGAGGGAACCCAGUCCAGGCGCGUUGAGUCAACUCAGUGAGCAAGUAGUUUCAAGAUUGUGUAGGAGUGUUGUGUCGCUCGCCUCAUUCCAUGGUGAUACCAAGUUAGGGGAAUGCACAGGCAUAUGCAUCGAAACCUCAUGCCCUGAUGCUACAAGUUUCCUGACAUCGAGACUUUUGAUUCCACUUACUUGGCCUACAAGGGAGAUCACUGAAAAUUUGACGAUUGAAGUGCACCUUCCAAAUGGUCGGACUGUCACUGGCUGGAUAGAGCAUCCUGGGAGAUAUGUUGAUUUUUUAAUCGUCAAUGUCAAGGACUUGUCUGUAUUUGAUGUCGCGCGUGUAAGUCUUGAUUGUGACAUGCAGUUUGAACCUUAUAGGAAGGUAGCAGCUGUAUGGCGCAAUUUCAGUUCAGGACUUUUAGGGGCCACAAGCGGAGUAGAUCUUGCCUCUCUAAGCGCUCUAACCAGUGAGACAAUGUUCAGCACAUGCCAGAUCAACAAGGCUGGGAUUGGAGGCCCCCUUGUUGAUUUUGAUGGUAACUUUGUUGGGAUGAACUGCUCUCGUACCAGAAGGAAAAAGACCCCCUACGUGCGAAGGGAGCAAAUCCUUCAAUUCUUGGAGUAUUACAGGAUGGUCAGUGUUAGAGCUAAGGAAGAGACUGAUGAUGCUGAAGAACCCGGAAUCGAAAGUGAGAUGAAACAACUACUUUGCAGCAUUCCAGGAGGAUCUACAAAAUUCUUUGCUUGCACUGGUGUAUUUGUAAAGUGCAAUGCAUGCUCUGCAACAAUUCUGACUUCAGCAAGUUUGGUUAGAGUUUCUGGUGAUGCACACAGGAUUGAUGAUAACCUGAGGAUUGAAGUUUGCCUUCCAAACGAAUUUCGAGUCGUAGGGAUACUGAACCGUUAUAAUUUACAUUACAACGUUGGUCUUGUUGACAUCAUGGGGUACUGGGGCCCUCGUGAAAUACAAAUCAGCCGGCAUCAAGUUACCUCAUGUAACAAGGUAAUAGCUGUGGGUCGUCUUUUUACUUAUCACAAUAUAAUGGCUGCAAAGGGGAAGUUGUUGGCUGGCAAACGAAGCAAACUCGAUUGCAUAGAACUAUGCGUCUCCACCUGUAAAACCACCAAGGCUGGGAUUGGGGGCCCUCUUAUUGACACUGGUGGGAAUUUUCUUGGAAUGAACUUUUACCACGAGGAAGAAACUCCAUUCCUGCCGAGGGAUGUUAUUCACCGCCUCUUGUUGAACCUAAAUAAAGGAUGUAAAAUUAUUUCUGCGUGUACCUGUAGGACUAGGGCAGGUGAUACUAUUGUUGAGGGUGACGAAAAGAGAUGCCUGUUGCCUGGUCCAUGUUGGUCCCAUGGAGAUGCUGAUACUAUUGCCGAGGGUGGUGUAAACAAGUGGCCGUUGCCUGAGCCGUAUGUGCGCCCUGCUGAUAUACCUGAACCUACUACAUUGGAUUUCUACAAGCUGAUUAGGAUGCACUGUGCUUUUUAG